UGCCAGCAGCCGCGGUAAUACGGAGGGGGUUAGCGUUGUUCGGAAUUACUGGGCGUAAAGCGCGCGUAGGCGGGUAAGUUAGUCAGAUGUGAAAUUUCGAGGCUCAACCUCGGAGCUGCAUUUGAAACUGCUCACCUUGAGGGUAGACGGGGAAAACGGAAUUCCACAUGUAGCGGUGAAAUGCGUAGAUAUGUGGAAGAACACCUGUGGCGAAAGCGGUUUUCUAGUUUAUUCCUGACGCUGAGGCGCGAAAGCAAGGGUAGCAAACAGGAUUAGAUA
RNAcentral lists this ribosomal RNA (279 nucleotides) under uncultured bacterium. RNAcentral describes it as "partial 16S ribosomal RNA". It matches the Rfam family "Bacterial small subunit ribosomal RNA", at positions 506 to 784 of the family's 1533-position model. The record is from RNAcentral.